AGCAGCCGCGGUAAUUCCAGCUCCAAUAGCGUAUAUUAAAGUUGUUGCAGUUAAAAAGCUCGUAGUUGAAUUUCGGGGUCAGUAGGCUGGUCGUGCCACAGGUACGCACUGGUCUCACUGAUUCCUCCUUCCUGAUGAACCGUAAUGCCAUUAAUUUGGUGUUGCGGGGAGACUGGACUGUUACUUUGAAAAAUUAGAGUGUUUAAAGCAGGCUAACGCUUGAAUACAUUAGCAUGGAAUAAUGAAAUAGGACGUUCGGUCUUAUUUUGUUGGUUUCUAAGAUUGACGUAAUGAUUAAUAGGGAUAGUUGGGGGCAUUAGUAUUCAAUUGUCAGAGGUGAAAUUCUUGGAUUUAUAGAAGACUAACUACUGCGAAAGCAUUUGCCAAGGAUGUUUUCAUUAAUCAAGAACGAAAGUUAGGGGAUCGAAGACGAUCAGAUACCGUCGUAGUCUUAACCAUAAACUAUGCCGACUAGGGAUCGGAUGAUGUUAAUUUUUAAUGACUCAUUCGGCGCCUUACG
Molecule: ribosomal RNA, 520 nt
Filed under: uncultured Glomus
Lineage: Eukaryota; Fungi; Glomeromycota; Glomeromycetes; Glomerales; Glomeraceae
Description: SSU rRNA
Rfam family: Eukaryotic small subunit ribosomal RNA
Source: RNAcentral